Long non-coding RNA from Salmo salar (Atlantic salmon), 3292 nucleotides. RefSeq lists it as uncharacterized. NCBI's taxonomy places the organism in Eukaryota, Metazoa, Chordata, Actinopteri, Salmoniformes, Salmonidae. The record is from RefSeq and is a predicted model, not a curated record.
AUAUCCUGCCCUUAUCUUUUAACAAGCUCUUCCACAUCCCUGAUUCACAGCAUCUGCAUUCUUUCCAUAUGACUCACCAUCCCAUGAGCCCCUUCCUCUCACACAGCAGUAUGCUGUUAUCAUAUAGAGUAUAAACUUAAUAUUAUAGCAUAGCUUCUUUGUUAUAUUAUAUAGGUUAUGCAAACAAAUAGUUGGUCAAACCCUAACACCUUGCAGAGCAAGGGAAACAACUACUUCAAGGUCUCAGAGCAAGUGACGUCACCAAUUGAAACGGUAUUAGCACGCACCGCUAACUAGCUUGCCAUUUCACACCAGUUACACUUGGCAGUCAUCUCGGUUUUCUUUCUUGUUUGUAUCAAUUGCAAAGUGUGUGUGCGCGUGUGCAUGUGUGAGUGAGAGAGAGUGAGGCAGGCGUUUUCAAGUGAAAAGUUAAUAACAAUGAUUUUGGGAAACAGCUCAGAGAUUUAACGAUGCUCCUACGAAGGUUCUAACGAGGAACUUAGCCUUAAGAUGCUUUUGGGAAACUGGGCCCAGGUGAGGAGCAUAAAGUGACUCUGAAGUUUGAGGAGGAAUGGGGGAGUUCGAACUAUGAAUCCGAUUAGGUUGACUGUGAUAAAAGAUUUGAUUGGGGAAGUUGUCAAUGCUAAAGUGUUAAGAAAUGGGAGCUGUGAGUAGGCAGGGCAAACCCAUUGAGCUGUUGAAACUACUACAACUAAAAAAAAACAUGGUAAUCAGAGAUUUUUACAUCACUGUUUAGAGGACACCCUGCAGAACACAGUCAGCUACAUUUUGGAAUGUUGCAUUUUGAUAUGAGGGUCACGAGAAAACAGAAGAAACCUGAACACUGCUCUUGCUUGUAUCACUGCUCUUUAUUAAGCUAACGUAUCGGCCUCAAGUUCUUCGUCAGAUAUUGGUUUACUUUAGGUAAUAUAUGUGAUGUCACGAUAAAAUGUGUUAAUAUUUGUACGAAAACAGCAUUUAACAGUUAGCUAGCUUGAUGCUAACCAAAUUUAGCUUGGCUAAGCACUAGUUAGCUCUUGGCUAGUUGGUUUCAGUCAAUGUUAGCUUACAUGUUAGUGGUUAAUAAUGUAAUGGUUGUAGCAUUGUUUCGCAUAGACCUUCAGUAAUUUAUAGUUAAAAAAAAAAAAUGACACUGAUAGUACAGAGAGUUAUAUAUAAUGUGAAUGUGUAGAUGUAUAGUGACGCCAUGGGCAAGUCCCUUGACAGGUACGAGGAAUGAUGGGAGGACAAUAUGAAGGUAAUUAUCUUUCCACACAACAGCAGCGUCCAGGCCUCCAGAGUACUCACCCUAUCGCCAGCUGUAUGGACGGGAGCCGCAGCUGUUUACUGAGAUCACUGAAACUCCACCUGAUGUGGUGGAAGUUGUCGAACCAGAUCAGAACGCCUUCGAGGACCACCGUCAGGCACAGACUGAAGGAUGUGGAGGUUUCUGACUAGGUGAGACUGAACAAAGACAAGGCGCAGGAGAAACAGAAGAGCCACUGGAGGAGAAUCAAGGGGACCAAGUGCUUCGACAUCCGGGCGAAUGACUUGGCUUGGAAGAAGGACAAAAGGAAGGCGAGACCUGGGAAAUAUUGCUGCUCUUUCGCUCCUAGCUGGGGUCACCAUCCGUUGAGGUGGAUAUAAAAAUCUCAGAUGAUAACUAUUUGUAUUUGCCACCUCGUGAUGGGCAGCAUCGCCAUGCUGUCAGCAGUACCAACUCUGGCCCAGGGGUUUCUCCAAAUAGUCAAUCUCAAGGUUAACCACUGGGUCACAUUAAGUAACCGCCGCUUCCAGGUAGGUAUAGUUAAGGUGUAUGACUCCAGUGGUUAUGACACCACCCCGGGAGUUUCUCACAACUCAUAUUUUCCAGGGACCAUCCCUUACCUCCCUCAUCAACCUCACUAACAAAAAAUGACAUACAGGUAUCCUUUCUUUUCUGUCUGUCAUUAACAUUAUUUAAUGUCUAAACAAACAUUUAAAUUAACUGUAUUAUUACAUACCUGAUAAAUCUGUAACCUGUUUUUGCUUGUUUACGUCUGUCUCCUACCCUGUUCUCUUUACUCUGCUCCUGUUCUCCAGGAGCUAGGGGUUCUGCCCAACAUCCAGACCCACCUGAUGUCCUCCAUUACCUGUUCUCCAGGACCUAGGGGUUCUGCCCAACAUCCAGACCCACCUGAUGUCCUCCAUUACCUGUUCUCCAGGACCUAGGGGUUCUGCCCAACAUCCAUACCCACCUGAUGUCCUCCAUUACCUGUUCUCCAGGACCUAGGGGUUCUGCCCAACAUCCAGACCCACCUGAUGUCCUCCAUUACCUGUUCUCCAGGACCUAGGGGUUCUGCCCAACAUCCAGACCCACCUGAUGUCCUCCAUUACCUGUUCUCCAGGACCUAGGGGUUCUGCCCAACAUCCAGAUCCACCUGAUGUCCUCCAUUACCUGUUCUCCAGGACCUAGGGGUUCUGCCCAACAUCCAGACCCACCUGAUGACCUCCAUUAUCAACCACCCUCCAACUUUUCAUUAUAUCAGCUACUGUUAUUGUCAUGUUGUCAUUAUUUGCUAAGAAAGAGCAAGAAAACUAUCAGACUUGGCACAUAAUGUGAGAUGCACAGAUUAGCUAAAAACACUAGCACUGCAAACACUCAGAACAAAGAGAGCAGCAGUGCCUGGACUUUUGCAGUCUCCCUCUUCGAGCCCCCUUCCGAGACUGACUGCCUGUUGAAAACAAGUGACCGGCAGAACCUCCCAUCCACACAGCACCCACCUCCUCUCUAUUCCACACACCAUAAUUCAGUUUUUCAGUCUUUGAUGGCCAUGUGAGUAUGCAAAAAAAUCUGUGAAAGUAAAUUGACAGAAAUGUACCAAAAAAUAUCAACGUUUAUAUAUUUAAAUCUAAAAUAUUGUUUUUCACAGCUGUUUCAUAAAGUGUUCAUUAUUGUAAAUUGUAACGUAUCCCUUGAUGGUAUUUGUUAGUUCAACAUGAAUUAUUGUUGUAUCAUAGGACAUACAAUAGAUAUAUAUUCAACCACAAGGAUGUACUAAUGAGCUAUGGUUUUAUUAAAAUGUAUAAAAUUAUUAAAAUAUUAUUUCAGUGUAGAUAAGGGAAGGUCUGUUUAAAAUGAAAACAUGCCAGCUAGACAAGCCAGUGUAUUAAUCAAAUGUGCAUAUGAAUGGAGUGGAAAUUAGCUGACUUUGUGAUCUGUAAGGAAAGCAACGAUAAUGUGUGGGGGGGCAUCGAAAUGAUAUUAUUUAUCCCCGAUAACUGUUUAUUCAUUAAAAAAAAACAAUCACAA